CCCCCCCCCCCCCCCCCCCAACGCAUGGCUCCACCUCAUGGAUGUUCCUUCUGCGCCCGAUGGCCAUGAGAUGCACGUGGAGCGUCGGGCCGUGCCUCCUCUGCACCAGAGAGUUCACCCUCGUCCUCGUCCUCUCUACUCCGCUCGAGCUCUAACCCUCACCUCUAUUUCGGUCUCUCUUAGAUUUGGUGCAGUGGCCGCCUCUCUCUCUUGAUUCAAUCCCCUCAAAAAUCUCAUAUUUGGUUUUGUGCCUACAAGAUUUACUUCAGGAGCUGAAGUAAGAAAAAAUGAAGGUUGUUGCGCGGAGCAUGGCAUCGGUGGAGGAGAGGAUCACUGUCGUGCGCCUGGUUGCGGGAACAGGCUGAGGUCCUCAUUCAACCUUAAUUUGAAGCCCUUAGGUAGGCUAGAAGGCGGGUAACCGGCGCCACGAGCAUGAUCCCCUCUUUGCUGGCGGGCUCAGCGACGGUUUCAUCGACGUAUGGAACCCACCGCAGGUAACGGCCGCCAUGAGCAUGAUCCCCUCCUUACGGGUGGUCUCAGCGACGGCUUCGUCUCCGUAUGGAACCCACCGCCGCUGCCAUGGCCGCCACCGUGUCCGAGAGGAAUAGCACACAAACUCACAUCAGGACUUCCUCAGCUUGUUUACUCUCUUUUUUCCUCCGGUUUCAUGCUUUGCACACCAUGUUUGGUGUCACUUGGAUUUUGGUUGAGCUGCGGGGCUGAACCGCGGACCUCAUCCAGAUUAUUUCAGCUUGGAUUUUGUCUUCCUUUCUACCUCCCAUUUCACUUUUAGCUAGUUCUUCUUGCUUCUACUGCUCUUUUGCAGUUUUGGCUGGUUGCUAGGUGUUUGUUCCUUGGAAUCUAGCUAUCUCAUUUUUCUUCCUCUUUCUCCUUUCGUUUUUCUUUUCUUGGUUAGACUGAAUUGCUUAUGAACUGUUUUGCAGAUACUGAUUUUGGUGUCAGCUCAAGGUAAAAGGUAAAGUCUGAAGGUAAGAAAUCAUCACUAGCUAGGUAGCCGUACAUGGUCUGGUUUCUUAGCAUAAUUUGGAAGUACCAAAUUCACUACUCAAUAUUAGUACUCAUUUAAAAAAUAUGCACUGUCUUGUUUGUCAGCUCCAUUUUAUUAAUCUAGAAGAAACCUAGAGCAGACGCUCACACUUUAGAUAGCACUUGUACUUAAUACAAUAGUUAAAUAUGACUUCAAUAUCUGAAUUAUCCAAUGGAAUUUAUAUUGCGUUGACGCCAGAUAUCUGAAUACCCUCAAUAUGGUUACUUGUGAUUCUUACAGAAGUAAGAAAGAAAGCUUAACGUUUAUCUAGAAUGAAAUAUAGAAUCAAGAGCUAUGAAGUAAAAUUUGAAAAUCAUAAAUCAUAACUCAAUGGUGGAUAGAAUCAGAGUUAAUUAAAAUAAUAGGUGCUAUAGUAUUGGAAGUUUUGUUAGUGCCCAUGCAUCUGCAUACAGAGUUGUGAUAUUUUCCAAUUGAAAGGUAGCAAUGUCUGAAGCUAAGUGGUUGCCAUACAGUUAACUUUGGUGUUUGUCUAAUGGUUAUUUAACUUAAAUGACCUGGUAAUUGAUGCACAUCGCUAUUCACCCUUUAUCCUGAAGAAUUGUUGCAUGCUUGUGUUAUGUGCUUACACUUAAGGUUAAUGUACCAGGUGUUCUUUUAGGUUAUUGUCAACGGAAGCAGCUGAUAAAUAUGAAUUCAGAGGAAGCAGCUUAUAAAUAGGGACACUGCGGUUACUAUUUCCCUAGGACACAGCUGCGGCUAAGAAAAGGACAUGUUGAAGCAGCACCAUCGAUUAUCGUGCUCCUCUGCAUUGAGAAGAAGUCACUCCCGAGUCGUCUAUGUACCACCUCCAAGUAUACCAGAUGUUUCUACUGUUCUCCUUGCCCCUUCAUCCAUGGUCUUUGUACAACAUCAUUAGUUUUAAUUAUUGAGGCACAAGAAUAACCUGUAUGUCAUGUAUGCUUCUUUGAUAACAGGUUAUUAAAUGCGGAUAGAAUAACUUGUGCACUUCUUGCUGCAUGUAUCCUCGUCUCUGUUCUUGGGAGAUAUGAUGAAGAGUGUCUUCCUCUCAUUGCUUUGCAGGGCAUGCCAAGAACUGGUAGCCAAUGAUCUCCAUGGAACUGAGUGACAUUUCUUGGUGAUUUUACAAUUUGAGCAUUCAGUUUGAAGCUGCUUUAAAUUUUCAGUCGUUGCGUUCUCAUAGUUUUGGUGUAGCACUUCAUGUCACAAUUGAAUACAAUUAUUACUUCAUGAGUAUGUGUGGCCUC
Molecule: long non-coding RNA, 2274 nt
Organism: Triticum aestivum (bread wheat)
Lineage: Eukaryota; Viridiplantae; Streptophyta; Magnoliopsida; Poales; Poaceae
Exons: 4
Source: RefSeq, a predicted model, not a curated record